CCUGCGGAAGGAUCAUUAAUGAAUGUAACAUCGGAGGGAGGAAAACAGGGGUUAAAGCAAGCUGUGGCUGGUCUUGUAAUGAGGCAUGUGCACGCUCGCUCCCUGAGGACCUCUCGACGUCUUUCAUCUUCUCACCUGUGCACCUAAUGUAGGAGUUCAGAGUCGGGCAUGGUUUUGGUAAAACGAAACUGUGCGAGCGCCUUUUCCCUGCGGGGGGAGGUGAGCGCCUUUCCCUGCGGGGGAGGUUGACUAGAACUCCUAUGUAUUGAAAGAUACAUCUUCGUGUAGAAAGUCUUUGAAUGUUUACGAUCAUAGAGCUGCGACUUCUAGGAGACGCGGGUCUUUGAGUUAAAAGUUAUUACAACUUUCAGCAAUGGAUCUCUUGGCUCUCGCAUCGAUGAAGAACGCAGCGAAAAGCGAUAUGUAAUGUGAAUUGCAGAUCUACAGUGAAUCAUCGAAUCUUUGAACGCACCUUGCGCUCCUUGGUAUUCCGAGGAGCAUGCCUGUUUGAGUGUCAGUUAAUUCAUCAACCCCUCUCGAUUAGGUUCGAGGGGGAGCUUGGAUAGUGGGGGCUGCCGGAGACUUGGGACUACUAGUAGUUCCAGGACUCGGGCUCUCCUUAAAUGCAUUGGGCUUGCGGUAGACUUUCGAGUUUGCGGGAAAAGGCUUUCGGCGUGAUAAUGAUCGCCGUGUGCUGAAGCGCAUGAAUGAAAGGUUCCGUGCCUCUAAUACGCAUCGACUUGUCUUUCGGGACUCGUCUUUCUUUGACAUAUUGA
RNAcentral lists this ribosomal RNA (776 nucleotides) under uncultured Rhizopogon. Its description in RNAcentral is "eukaryotic LSU rRNA". The stretch from base 363 to 517 matches the Rfam family "5.8S ribosomal RNA". Lineage: Eukaryota; Fungi; Basidiomycota; Agaricomycetes; Boletales; Rhizopogonaceae. The record is from RNAcentral.